Unclassified non-coding RNA from Cricetulus griseus (Chinese hamster), 322 nucleotides. Its record names the gene 7SK. It matches the Rfam family "7SK RNA". Rfam says of the family: 7SK was discovered as an abundant small nuclear RNA in the mid-70s but a possible function has only recently been suggested. Two independent studies have found that 7SK RNA binds the CDK9/cyclin T complex (known as elongation factor P-TEFb). P-TEFb activates transcription by phosphorylating the C-terminal domain of RNA polymerase II. The record is from Ensembl. NCBI's taxonomy places the organism in Eukaryota, Metazoa, Chordata, Mammalia, Rodentia, Cricetidae.
GUGAAGAUGAUCUGCUUGCAACAUCUGUCAUGCCAUUGGUCACCUGAUGUGGUUGGCUAGGUAGGUGUCUUCUUUUCCCAUCACAUGUGCAUCCAGAGCUGAAUAUUCAGUCAUGAAAGAUGGCGUUCCCUAAUGGAGGACCAUUCUUUAGUCAAGGGUACACUAGAAGCUUCAUUUAUCUUCUAGAAUCUCUAAACAAUCCAUCAAGAAAUGCCAAGCUCCUGUGUCUCCCCCUAAGCAACACUGCUAUGAAACCUAUCCAAGCUGCUCCAACAAAUAAUGUCAAGAAAAGCACACAACCUACUGAUUGUAACAGUAGUUU